RNA transcript from Triticum aestivum (bread wheat), 5823 nucleotides. RefSeq lists it as uncharacterized. The record is from RefSeq and is a predicted model, not a curated record. The transcript has 2 exons. NCBI's taxonomy places the organism in Eukaryota, Viridiplantae, Streptophyta, Magnoliopsida, Poales, Poaceae.
CAAUCUCUGUCCUCUCCUGCGUUCUCAUUGUAUUAUACCCGUGUGUGUAGUGCAUAUUGCUCUGACGUUAUAGAAUUUUUGGUAGAUUGUGCGUCUCUUCUUGACAAAUUCUUUGCCCUGGUGAUCACGUCUAGAUUUAUUCAGCUCAUGUAUCUAUACCAUGUACUAUUUGCUACUAUAUAUAUGGUAUUGAUUGUAAAAAAAGGUGCAUAUUGCAAUUUUAAUGAAGAAUGAAUGAUUGUUUAAAUCAAGUGGAGAAUAAAUGUUCAUUAGCAUAUUGUUAUCUGACACAAAUAUAUGCAGUGGGUUUGAUGGCAGGUUGAUUAAAACCAUGGUAAACAAUCGACAUUGAGAAUCCCCGGAUCGAUGUAUUUUCGUGUGUGAAUUGGAAAAAAAAUCCUUAUUAUAGUCAUAACAGUGAUAAGGACUGUUAGACAAUUAAUGCUCUUUAUUUAUUUGUUUAUUUUAGUUUCCACACAGGAUGUUCUAAAACAUGUUCGUCUUACCUGAAAAAGCACUGCUAUGCACACGAGUAUCGACGCACGAUCCACAGAUGACAAGUCAGGUAGACCAUAGGAUUAACUGGGUUUUUUUUUAAAUCUGUGUGGCUCCUAAUCCCGUCGAGCGAAAUCAUCCUGGAGCCAAUCGUGUGCAGAGGGCUUUCGUACCUGAAAUGCCUACUUGUUAUGAAGAGAUCUAACAUGUAUCAUGUACUCCCUUUGUUUUAAAUUACUCGUCGUAGUUUUAAUUCAAAUUUGAACUAAAACCAUGACGAGUAAUUUGGAACGGAGGGAGUAUGAAGUAAUAGGUGGAUCAUGUGUCCCUCUUACAUAAGGGUCAUGUUAAAUUGUCAAACACUCAGAUGAUCUUUGAUCGAGAUAUAUAAACCACUAGCAUAUGUAUAUUUCUGAAACCAGUAUUUCAGCUGUCACGUGUCUUUGGCCGACGGCAAAUUGCAAACACAGCAAAGCUGGCUUCCCUUGAGAGAGAUCAAACUUGGGUAGCAGCAUAGCUCGAAUAAGUGUAUUGACUGAUUGACUAGCAACACACGCGCACACAGAAGAUAGUUGAUUGGAUAGCCACUAGCAUGUAAACAUGCAUGUUGUUUAUAUUUCUUCAACACACUGUGAUUGUGAAGCUAUCUCUAUAUUUCUACAAUUCGCUGUUGAUCUUUUAUAGAUGUUCAUCUCCCGACCUUAUCUAUAUUAACUACUGGUCAAUUUUAUGAAUUACUUGUUGGUGAGAAUUCUUCUGCAUCUGUUGUUGUCUUCUUGGCAUCAUCAUUCAAUCAUAUUUUCUAGACUAUUGAGUUCAGGAAUAUUUGUUGUUGCCUCAAUAUGUUGUGGAUUAUCUUAUUUUAUAGUUUCUUUUGUUGAGUGAAUAUCUCCAAAGUAUCGAACUUACAUUGUCUGCUCACAGAGAGGAAAAGAGGGGCUGACUGUAGGAUUCUAAAAUCUUUCUUUGCUGCCAAACUUUAGUGAUUGCCCUGCUGGAGAUUGUCAUUUUAAUAUACGUGCUGGCCCGGCUAAUUAGUGCUACGCUGUAUAAGUUCACAGUGGACUUGCAAUUGCUUAGUAACUGUAGUAGAUGGAAAUGUACCAACAUGUCGUAGUUAUGUUGUUAACUUGCUAUAUUGCUCCUUUCCUUUUGUAAGGUAUCUCAGACUGGGGGAUUUUUUGUUCAACAUUAGACGAAAUAUUCUGCUCAAUUUUUAUAUUCUACCAUUUGUUUCCCACACUUGUCUUUUGAAUUGUCCAUUUGUUAUUUGGAUUUUUUUAGAUUUAACUGUGUAUCCGACACACGUACAAUAAUAAUUUUGUUUAGAUAUGAAAAAUAUAAUAUCAUUGUCAGGAACUUCUACACCCGAUUAUUUCUCAUAUAUUUGGGGUCUGAUGCAGCAAAGGUAAUAUAUGCUUUGUGUUUUUAGAUUGAUAACAAUGAAUUAUUCCAGAUGUAAAAGGAAUUGCUAAAAUCAACUAGAACUGAUGCUACAUAAGUUUUUGCUUUUCAUAAUUAAAUUAUUUCCCUCUUGAUAAAAAAAACCAUACUAUUCUAGAGAACUUAGUUCACAAGACAGAAAAGAAGCAAAGGUGUAUUAUGCAACUUUCAAUAAGGUGGAAAUAAACAAGACUAGAGGUGGGUGGAGAGAGAGAUAGAGAUGUUACACAUGAUUCAUUCCUGAACCACUAGAACUUGUUGUUUUUUCUCUCAUCCGUUGGCCAUGCCCAUCCUUAGAUUGGGCUUGAUUUGUAUUUAUGCGUAACUGUGCACAUUUUGGUCAGCUAUGUGUCAUGUUUAGACUUUUCUGCGUUGUCUCGGCUGAAAGCCAUUUUUAUCGGAAUGUUGGUUGGUGCAUAUAGUUUUACUGCCAUGUAGAAGAAUGAAGUACUUAAGUGCUAUUUGUUUCUCUGCGAACGAAACUAGGUGUCUUUGUUACAAGUAAAUCAGGAUAAGAAUGGAAAUGACCCUGUUAGAUCCCCAUAAGUGGUACCGCAGUAGCCAGGAACAGAUUGACGUAAUCAACGGAUGAAUUGGUGUGUGUUAACCAUUUAAUUUGAACAUGGUAUGGCAAUUGUUGCACUCUGUUUUAGUUAGUUGAAACUAAUAGCUAGGAACGCAUCUUUGUAGUACUUUUCUGUUAAAUUUGUAAAUAUACAUUUUGCUUCAAGCAAUUUGCUAGCUAUUCAAGUUGGCAACUAGCUGGCAUCAUGUGAUGUUUCUUUUCCAUGUUAUUAAGACUUAUACAUAACUUAUUGUUUACAUGGUGGUCCAUUAUAACUAUUGUAAACUAAAAAUUUUCAACAAGGAGAUGUCUGCAUAUAACACCUUCAUAAUUGUUAUUACAUGACUAUAUGUUGUGAAAUCAUUUUUCAUAUGUCUAUUUUUUUUUCAUCACCCCAAUUUAGAAAUGAGCCUUCUGUUAACUCCUAAUCUUCCAAGUCAUUUUCUGUUCUGACAAACUUGUACCUUUUCAGACAGAUCAUUGUCAGCGAGUAAAAAAUUGUUCAAUUAAAUACUGGCAUUAUGUGCUCUAUAUUGGGAAUUUUGAAUGAAUAGUUUUGACAUAUUUUCUUCAGGAGAAUUUUUCGGAGCUUGAGUAAGCAACUGUAUCUACUUAUUUUGUUAAUCAGAUUUGUAGCACCCGAUAUGUUUAGGCAGUAGACUUAUUGGUCCAGAGAAGGAUUCCCAUGAUUCACCAAAAAAUUGUUGUACUAGGGAGUUUGCUUGUUUUGAUAGAAGUAGUAGUAAGGUGUGUAUUUGUACGUAUAACAUGUUUGGUGAGAGAGAGACUUGGAUAUUUCUCCAUCCAUAUUUUACUUGUUCUGAUGUAGACAUGCAAACAAGCCAAAAAUGAUCUCUAUGGAAUAAUGUUCCUGACAAGAGAUAGGGCUUUGUUCCUAUAUUACUAUUUUUGGGACCCUACAUUCUUUUAUCUAUAGCAUUUAUGCUUUAUGAGCUGCAUUUAUAAAUGGAUUAUAUCAGUGAUAUUAGCUAUGUGUGUGGACGGAUAUACAUAUGUGUGAGAUAAUUUGGGGUUGAUAGGAAAUCAUUAUUUUGAUGUUUUGUUAAUUGAAGUUUGAUCUUAUGUUCUAACUGCAAACAUGUGUGCCACGUUUCCUCAAUGUGAAGCGAAAGAAGGUCGUUGCGGUGGUCGGCUACCAGGAGUAUCUUGUUUGGCCUUGUACCAUGUCGGAUUGUCACUAUUUUUAAAAUCUACUUAUGACUAUUUUGUAAAGGUAUGUUGCAGAACCAUCUAUUUUUAAAAUCAAUAUAAUGCCGUUGAGAUUGGUGAAUGAGGCUUCGAAUAAAUUUGAAUUCAAAUAAAUUUUCUAAGGACAUAGCUUUGUUGGCAUAUAAUAUAUUGGUCAAAUUGAUUAUCUAGGAACAUGUGCACACCCCAUGCACUCGUAGUAGUUAUAUUUUCCUCUUGCAUUUGUUAAUUUAGGGAUUCACUUUAACAUAGUCACGUUAGACCUUUUUUUGCCAAACACAGUAACUUAGAUACUCCAUUGAAUAACUUACCAUGUGUUGGUAUUUAUUGCUAUAAAUAACACUGAGCCUUGUUCAUCACAAAUCUGUAUUGAUAUGUGUUGUGCUCUCUUUGAGAGAAGUGAACUCUGAAAACCCUCCUCAUUCCGAACAAUGAAAAUUCUUAGGCUGAAAGUACAAACUUUGUAGGACAAAUUGACAGAUUUGGCGAAAAAUGGGCGUAUUUGGAGCCGGAUGGAAAGAUUGGCAGAUUUGGAGCAGACUGUUGUCACAAUAACAAAAGAGCUGAAGUGGAAGGGCUCAUGGAAGAAGAGAUGGAAUGACAAUAAUGCAACCUUGACGUGUGGCUGUUGUAUGUAUUUGAGGUACGUAGGAAAAGAACUCUUAAUGAGGUAAAGUGAUGGGGACUCAUCUAAGGUGGAGAUGGAAACUGGGCCCAGAGGCAAACAUGGCAUUGUUCAUAGUCAGUUUGUGAAUGAACAUGUGGUGGAAAGAAUGUUUCCAUGUCCAUAUGCCUCCUUUUCUUAUUAUUCGUACUAAGCAAGCAUUAUUCUCCAAACCCCCAUAAUUCAAACGGAGGGUAAAGAUAUCAUGUGUUGGAAACACACCCCAACAGGUAAGUGCACUACUAAGAGUGCAUACAAGCUAUGUGUACAGGUUCUUCAUCAAGAAUGAGCUCCUCAACGAAGGCAGGUGUUUACUCUUGUAAAAACACUUUUUUGCUAGGUUUGGAAAGACAAUAGCAUUGCUCUGAGAAUUCAGACGUUUGCUUGGAGGCUUCUUGAGAGAGCAGUUCCAACAGGCAUGCGGGCUGGUAUGUAUGCCAGACACAUCUCCAAAUACUGCUCCAUGUGUGAGGCGGAGGAAGAUGACAUUCAUUUAUUUUUCUCAUGCCCAUUUGCUAAAGCUGCUUAGUUCUUAGAACCAUGGUUUCUUAGGUCUGAUUACUUUGUGCAACAUUACAGAUCAAUUCCUAAUAUUAUUCAAGCAAUCUUAAGUUCAGGACACCACUAUGCUUCCAUAUGCAAUCUAAUGACUUUUUCUGGUGUAUAUAGAAGGCGGGAAAUGACAAACAUUUUGGAAGAAAAUAGGGACAUCCAACUCAGGUGCAUCAAGCUGCUCAAGCUAUAAUGAAAGGGCUUCAGGUAGAGUCCAAAGUUACAGGUUUUAUCGGUCCACCCUUCUGACAGAUAAUCAGGUACUUGCAAGAGCUGCAAAUGCUGGCAAAUUUCAAACCCGGGACAUUGUGAAAUCCAUUCACAGAUAGCAGAAUACUUCAUUGUUUCCAAGUCUCUUAUGUUAAAGAUAUAUCACAUCAAAAGAGAUUUGAAUGGUGUUGCUCAUAACCGUGCAAAGGACUCACUGAAAAAGCUUUGUAUUAGCUACCACAUAUUAUAUUAGCUCAUACUGUACUGUAUCCCCUACCACAUACUGUAUUAGCUCAACUGAUAGGAGUAUCCAGUGUCCAGUGUUGCUCGCUUUGAGCAACUUUGUAAUCUAUGGAUUUCGUAUCCUUGAUGUAAGAUGUGUAUGAAAGAUCAAUGAAUAGCGCCCUCGGGCGCUCCUUCUGUUAAAAAAAAUUGCAUGGCAUAUGUAGUAGAAUGAGACAACAAAACAAUGGCAUAGAAUCCACAUGAAGAGUCAAGGGGCAAUGAGAUGAUGAUUUAUGUAUGGACAAAGAAGGCGAUGAACGGCAUGUUCAAUGGAGAAGAGAGGCUAGAGGGGUGCAUGGUGUUUGUUGAAAUACAUAGAAGAUACUUGUGUUUGUGUUGUGGUUGAACAUUACGUGCAAUGAGUUUGUUCGUAGGGAGUAAAAUGAGCAUUGUUUACAAA